GGGGUUCCAAGAGCUGCUAGGUUGGUGAACACAUGGAGGUGCGGGGAGGGUGGCGAGCCCAGCGAGGACGUGGAUUCCCCACGGCCCUUCCCACAUACCCCGUUCUUUCAUUUGGCUGUUUCUGAGUUGUGUGCUUUAUAAUCAACUGACAAUGGUCCUAUGUCCCUUCCUCUUAAAUUUGGGCAGAAUUUGUGACUUCUUUGUCCAACAAAAUAUCGCAGAAGUGAUGCUGUACCAGACUGAAAAAGAGUGGCAGUUUCUAGCUGUGGUAUCUUGGAUCCAAAGAAUCAAUGACCCCAUACAACAGACCCAGUAGAGUUCCCAGGAAACAGCCAGCACCAGCCAUGUUGGUAAGAUAUCUUGAAAAUAGAUACUUCAGCCCACUUGAGCCACCACAGCUCACACCACCUGGAGCACAGUCAAGCCUUUUCUGCUGAGCCCUGCCCAAACUGCAGAUUUGUGAACCAAAUAAAUAAUUGCAAUUGUUUUAAGCCAAUAA
Molecule: long non-coding RNA, 499 nt
Organism: Homo sapiens (human)
Lineage: Eukaryota; Metazoa; Chordata; Mammalia; Primates; Hominidae
Gene: MACROD2-AS1
Product: MACROD2 antisense RNA 1
Source: Ensembl